Molecule: ribosomal RNA, 402 nt
Filed under: uncultured prokaryote
Description: bacterial SSU rRNA
Rfam family: Bacterial small subunit ribosomal RNA
Source: RNAcentral
CGGGGAAUAUUGGACAAUGGGCGAAAGCCUGAUCCAGCCAUGCCGCGUGAGUGAAGAAGGCCCUAGGGUUGUAAAGCUCUUUCAGUGGGGAAGAUAAUGACGGUACCCACAGAAGAAGCCCCGGCUAACUUCGUGCCAGCAGCCGCGGUAAUACGAAGGGGGCUAGCGUUGCUCGGAAUCACUGGGCGUAAAGCGCACGUAGGCGGAUCAUUAAGUCAGGGGUGAAAGCCUGGGGCUCAACUCCAGAACUGCCCUUGAUACUGAUGAUCUUGAGUCCGGAAGAGGUUGGUGGAACUCCGGGUGUAGAGGUGAAAUUCGUAGAUAUUCGGAAGAACACCAGUGGCGAAGGCGGCCAACUGGUCCGGUACUGACGCUGAGGUGCGAAAGCGUGGGGAGCAAACA